GACCUCAGAUCAGGCAGGAUUACCCGCUGAACUUAAGCAUAUCAAUAAGCGGAGGAAAAGAAACUAACAAGGAUUCCCCUAGUAACGGCGAGUGAAGCGGGAAGAGCUCAAAUUUGUAAUCUGGCACUUUCAGUGUCCGAGUUGUAAUUUGUAGAGGAUGUUUCGGAUAAGGCUUUGGUUUAAGUUUCUUGGAACAGAAUGUCAUAGAGGGUGAGAGUCCCGUCUAGAACCGAUAGCCGCGUUCAUGUGAAACUCCUUCGACGAGUCGAGUUGUUUGGGAAUGCAGCUCAAAAUGGGUGGUAAAUUUCAUCUAAAGCUAAAUAUUGGCCAGAGACCGAUAGCGCACAAGUAGAGUGAUCGAAAGAUGAAAAGCACUUUGAAAAGAGAGUUAAACAGUAUGUGAAAUUGUUGAAAGGGAAGCGC
This 423-nucleotide ribosomal RNA is filed under the name uncultured fungus. Its description in RNAcentral is "eukaryotic LSU rRNA". It matches the Rfam family "Eukaryotic large subunit ribosomal RNA", at positions 1 to 422 of the family's 3401-position model. The record is from RNAcentral. Lineage: Eukaryota; Fungi.